This is a long non-coding RNA of Mizuhopecten yessoensis (Yesso scallop), 391 nucleotides long. RefSeq lists it as uncharacterized. The transcript is spliced from 3 exons. The record is from RefSeq and is a predicted model, not a curated record. NCBI's taxonomy places the organism in Eukaryota, Metazoa, Mollusca, Bivalvia, Pectinida, Pectinidae.
AGGUUGUGACUUUAGGUUGUGGUGCUAGGUUGUGACUUUAGGUUGUGGUGCUAGGUUGUGACUUUAGGUUGUGGUGCUAGGUUGUGACUUUAGGUUGUGGUGCUAGGUUGUGACUUUAGGUUGUGGUGCUAGGUUGUGACUUUAGGCUGUGGUGCUAUGUUGUGGUGCUAGGUUGUGACUUUAGGUUGUGGUGCUUGGUUGUGACUUAAGGUUGAGGUGCUAUGUUGAGGUGAUAUGUUGAUGUGCUAUGUUUAGGCUUAAGUUGAGGUGCUAGCUUGUUGGUUUAGGUUGAGGUGCUUGAUUUUGGUGUUAGAUUGUGGUUUAUGGUUGUAGUGUUAGGUUAAUAUGUUCGUUGGAAUUGUUAGGCUGCAAAAUAUUUGGUAGAGGUGUU